UGCUGUGUUUCCCGGUCCCUCCCUGCCAUC
Molecule: non-coding RNA, 30 nt
Filed under: Mus musculus (house mouse)
Lineage: Eukaryota; Metazoa; Chordata; Mammalia; Rodentia; Muridae
Source: RNAcentral